Molecule: ribosomal RNA, 467 nt
Filed under: uncultured bacterium
Lineage: Bacteria
Description: partial 16S ribosomal RNA
Rfam family: Bacterial small subunit ribosomal RNA
Source: RNAcentral
GGUGAACGCUGGCGGCGUGCCUAAGACAUGCCAGUCGAGCGGGGCAGGUUUAUACCUGUUCAGCGGCGGACGGGUGAGUAACGCGUGGGUGACCUACCCGGAAGAGGCGGACAACCUGGGGAAACCCAGGCUAAUCCGCCAUGUGGUCCUGUCCUGUGGGGCAGGACUAAAGGGGCGACCCGCUUCCGGAUGGGCCCGCGUCCCAUCAGCUAGUUGGUGGGGUAAAGGCCCACCAAGGCGACGACGGGUAGCCGGUCUGAGAGGAUGGCCGGCCACAGGGGCACUGAGCCACGGGCCCCACUCCUACGGGAGGCAGCAGUUAGGAAUCUUCCGCAAUGGACGGAAGUCUGACGGAGCGACGCCGCUUGGAGGAGGAAGCCCUUCGGGGUGUAAACUCCUGAACUGGGGACGAAAGCCCCGUGUAGGGGGAUGACGGUACCCAGGUAAUAGCGCCGGCCAACUCCGUG